Molecule: small nucleolar RNA, 141 nt
Organism: Otolemur garnettii (small-eared galago)
Lineage: Eukaryota; Metazoa; Chordata; Mammalia; Primates; Galagidae
Source: Ensembl
CGGACGCUGAGCCGAAUAAAAAAUAUUUUUAAGAAAAGGCACAAAAUUCCUUUGUUUAUAACACACCCAAAAAGAAUCUAGGGUCAUAGGGAUGAGGGGUACAAAACUUGUGGCCUCCCUAUGAACAAAUUUCCUAUAUGU